This 16-nucleotide ribosomal RNA is filed under the name Eimeria falciformis. RNAcentral describes it as "large subunit ribosomal RNA". Lineage: Eukaryota; Apicomplexa; Conoidasida; Eucoccidiorida; Eimeriidae. The record is from RNAcentral.
GAGCUGUAACGCUAUC